AGGCGAACCGGGGGAACUGAAACAUCUAAGUACCCCGAGGAAAAGAAAUCAACCGAGAUUCCCCCAGUAGCGGCGAGCGAACGGGGAGCAGCCCAGAGCCUGAAUCAGUGUGUGUGUUAGUGGAAGCGUCUGGAAAGGCGCGCGAUACAGGGUGACAGCCCCGUACACAAAAAUGCACAUGCUGUGAGCUCGAUGAGUAGGGCGGGACACGUGGUAUCCUGUCUGAAUAUGGGGGGACCAUCCUCCAAGGCUAAAUACUCCUGACUGACCGAUAGUGAACCAGUACCGUGAGGGAAAGGCGAAAAGAACCCCGGCGAGGGGAGUGAAAAAGAACCUGAAACCGUGUACGUACAAGCAGUGGGAGCACGCUUAGGCGUGUGACUGCGUACCUUUUGUAUAAUGGGUCAGCGACUUAUAUUCUGUAGCAAGGUUAACCGAAUAGGGGAGCCGAAGGGAAACCGAGUCUUAACUGGGCGUUAAGUUGCAGGGUAUAGACCCGAAACCCGGUGAUCUAGCCAUGGGCAGGUUGAAGGUUGGGUAACACUAACUGGAGGACCGAACCGACUAAUGUUGAAAAAUUAGCGGAUGACUUGUGGCUGGGGGUGAAAGGCCAAUCAAACCGGGAGAUAGCUGGUUCUCCCCGAAAGCUAUUUAGGUAGCGCCUCGUGAAUUCAUCUCCGGGGGUAGAGCACUGUUUCGGCAAGGGGGUCAUCCCGACUUACCAACCCGAUGCAAACUGCGAAUACCGGAGAAUGUUAUCACGGGAGACACACGGCGGGUGCUAACGUCCGUCGUGAAGAGGGAAACAACCCAGACCGCCAGCUAAGGUCCCAAAGUCAUGGUUAAGUGGGAAACGAUGUGGGAAGGCCCAGACAGCCAGGAUGUUGGCUUAGAAGCAGCCAUCAUUUAAAGAAAGCGUAAUAGCUCACUGGUCGAGUCGGCCUGCGCGGAAGAUGUAACGGGGCUAAACCAUGCACCGAAGCUGCGGCAGCGACGCUUAUGCGUUGUUGGGUAGGGGAGCGUUCUGUAAGCCUGUGAAGGUGUACUGUGAGGUAUGCUGGAGGUAUCAGAAGCGCGAAUGCUGACAUAAGUAACGAUAAAGCGGGUGAAAAGCCCGCUCGCCGGAAGACCAAGGGUUCCUGUCCAACGUUAAUCGGGGCAGGGUGAGUCGACCCCUAAGGCGAGGCCGAAAGGCGUAGUCGAUGGGAAACAGGUUAAUAUUCCUGUACUUGGUGUUACUGCGAAGGGGGGACGGAGAAGGCUAUGUUGGCCGGGCGACGGUUGUCCCGGUUUAAGCGUGUAGGCUGGUUUUCCAGGCAAAUCCGGAAAAUCAAGGCUGAGGCGUGAUGACGAGGCACUACGGUGCUGAAGCAACAAAUGCCCUGCUUCCAGGAAAAGCCUCUAAGCAUCAGGUAACAUCAAAUCGUACCCCAAACCGACACAGGUGGUCAGGUAGAGAAUACCAAGGCGCUUGAGAGAACUCGGGUGAAGGAACUAGGCAAAAUGGUGCCGUAACUUCGGGAGAAGGCACGCUGAUAUGUAGGUGAAGUCCCUCGCGGAUGGAGCUGAAAUCAGUCGAAGAUACCAGCUGGCUGCAACUGUUUAUUAAAAACACAGCACUGUGCAAACACGAAAGUGGACGUAUACGGUGUGACGCCUGCCCGGUGCCGGAAGGUUAAUUGAUGGGGUCAGCGCAAGCGAAGCUCUUGAUCGAAGCCCCGGUAAACGGCGGCCGUAACUAUAACGGUCCUAAGGUAGCGAAAUUCCUUGUCGGGUAAGUUCCGACCUGCACGAAUGGCGUAAUGAUGGCCAGGCUGUCUCCACCCGAGACUCAGUGAAAUUGAACUCGCUGUGAAGAUGCAGUGUACCCGCGGCAAGACGGAAAGACCCCGUGAACCUUUACUAUAGCUUGACACUGAACAUUGAGCCUUGAUGUGUAGGAUAGGUGGGAGGCUUGGAAGUGUGGACGCCAGUCUGCAUGGAGCCGACCUUGAAAUACCACCCUUUAAUGUUUGAUGUUCUAACGUUGACCCGUAAUCCGGGUUGCGGACAGUGUCUGGUGGGUAGUUUGACUGGGGCGGUCUCCUCCUAAAGAGUAACGGAGGAGCACGAAGGUUGGCUAAUCCUGGUCGGACAUCAGGAGGUUAGUGCAAUGGCAUAAGCCAGCUUGACUGCGAGCGUGACGGCGCGAGCAGGUGCGAAAGCAGGUCAUAGUGAUCCGGUGGUUCUGAAUGGAAGGGCCAUCGCUCAACGGAUAAAAGGUACUCCGGGGAUAACAGGCUGAUACCGCCCAAGAGUUCAUAUCGACGGCGGUGUUUGGCACCUCGAUGUCGGCUCAUCACAUCCUGGGGCUGAAGUAGGUCCCAAGGGUAUGGCUGUUCGCCAUUUAAAGUGGUACGCGAGCUGGGUUUAGAACGUCGUGAGACAGUUCGGUCCCUAUCUGCCGUGGGCGCUGGAGAACUGAGGGGGGCUGCUCCUAGUACGAGAGGACCGGAGUGGACGCAUCACUGGUGUUCGGGUUGUCAUGCCAAUGGCACUGCCCGGUAGCUAAAUGCGGAAGAGAUAAGUGCUGAAAGCAUCUAAGCACGAAACUUGCCCCGAGAUGAGUUCUCCCUGACUCCUUGA
Molecule: ribosomal RNA, 2625 nt
Filed under: human gut metagenome
Description: bacterial LSU rRNA
Rfam family: Bacterial large subunit ribosomal RNA
Source: RNAcentral